This is a long non-coding RNA of Leopardus geoffroyi (Geoffroy's cat), 3067 nucleotides long. RefSeq lists it as uncharacterized. The transcript has 3 exons. NCBI's taxonomy places the organism in Eukaryota, Metazoa, Chordata, Mammalia, Carnivora, Felidae. The record is from RefSeq and is a predicted model, not a curated record.
CCCAACAGUGUCAUGCUUUUGAGGGCAGCACUUUUCCUAGGAGGGUGGCGGGGUAUAGGGACAGGUAUCUUAAGUACACUACCUAAUGUCACCAAUUUCUGCCUGAGAUUAAAAAGACAGAGAUGCCCCCUUCCUUCCCUCUUUAUUCAUUGGAGAACCUCCUCUAUCUCCUCACCCCUCCCUCAGCUCACACCUUCUCCCCUCUCUCUCCCUGGCUCCCGGAACUGGUCUGUGGCAUUGGCAAAAGUUAAAUACAGAGAAUCAGUGAGAAGGAAGACAGAGAGAUUAGGCUCCCUCAGGAGAAGGGGUCCCCAUCUCACCUCGCAGGUUGGCCAGGCCCUGUACCAAGCACCUUCCAUGAUUAUCUCUCAGAAUCCCUCUAACAACCUCAGAAGACAGGGGCCGUUUUCAUCUUCAUUUUACAGGAGCUAGUCUGUGGAGAAGGAAGUUUGGUUUUGAUUUACAAGUCUCCAGAGAAAGGGAAAUUCCUUUACCUCCGCUUUUGUUGGAGCAGCCAGUUGUCACUUCCUGGAGCUGUUGCCGGUCUCUCAGAUGGCCCACAGAGCUCCCUCCAGCCAGAGAACACCAGAGUAUGGGACACUGAAGGACCUCCCUGUUCCAGAGGGUGCAGCAGGGAUAACAUCAAUCCCAUGUAAGUAAGACAAGGCCAAAUCACCCAUUCAAUGAACAGCCGUCGGGCAGGUGCUCUGAGCCCAGCCUUUAUCACAUGGCACUGCACAGCCCAGGGUCCCUGUGACGCAGGGGCUUAAUUAGGGUAAAAAAAAUUACUACACAUACUAGCUAAUAUGCACUCGGUUCUUAUUAGAUGUCAAGUAUGUUAUAAGCACAGUGAGCAAACGUAGGACAGAUAAGAUCUUUGCCCUCAAGUAGCUUGUCUUUUAAUGGUUUUUCACAUGAUACCCUCCUUUUUUUUUCCUUUGGCAUAAUUUACACAUAUUAAAAUUUCCCUUUUCUUAGUGUAAAGUUCUGUGAGUUUUGACAAACACAGUCAUGUAACCACCAUCACAGUCAAGGUAUAGAAUAUGUUCAUCGCGUCCUGAAUGUCCCUCUUGCUCUUUAGUGACCGACCCCUCCCCCCGCAUCCCCAGGCACUGGCAGCCACUGAUCUGAUGGCUAUCCUUAUAGUUUUGACUUUUCCCAAAUCGAAUCCUUCAGUAUGUAGUCAUUUGAAUCUGGCUCCCUUACUUACCACGACGACCACGACGUUUUGAUACCUAUCCGUAUUGUUCAUGCCUUGUUUUCUGUCUUUCCACUUUUUUAUAAUUUCUAAUUUUAUUUAUAUUUUGAGAGAAAGAGUGAGAGAGAGCAGGGGAGGGGCCAGGAGAGAGGGACAGAGAGAAUCUCAAGCAGGCUCUGCACUGUCAGCACAGAGCGUGAUGCAGGGCUCCAACUCACGAACCGUGAGAGAGACCAUGACCUGGGCUGAAAUCAAGAGUCAGAGAGAGACUUAACUGAAUGAGCCACCCAUGCGCCCCUCUUUCCACUUUUUUUUACAAAACUUUUCCAAUAUAAAGUUAAAAGAAUAAUUUAGUCAAUACCUAUAAACCCACCACCUGGAUUCAAUAAUUGUUUCCCUUUUGCCAUAUUUCAAAAUGAUGUAUAUACAUAGGCAUAUAUAUUGGCUGAACCGUUUGAAAGUACUUCUAGAACUUCAACACAGGGCUCCUGGGUGGCUCAAUUGUUAAGCAUCUGACUUCAGCUCAGGUCAUGAUCUCACAGUUGGUGAGUUUGCAUCCUACAUCAGGUGGGUUCAAGGCCCCACUUUGGGUGAGGGCAGGACCCUCUUGAGGUAAAACAUGAGCCCUGGGUGAGCACCGCCUCUCUCUGUCUCUCUGUCUCUCUCUCUCUCUGCCCUUUGUGGGAUUCUCUUUCUUUCUGCCUCUCACUUACUUGUGCCCUCUCUCUCUCUCUUUUUCUCUCAAAAUAAAUACAUAAGUAAAUUAAAAUAAAUCCUCAACAUCUAUUACCUAGGAAGGAGGACAUCUGAUGAGCAUGUCAUACAAGGAAGUUGACAACAAUUCCCAAGUGUCAUCUACUACCCAUCCAUUUGCAAAUGUCCCCUAUUUAAAAAAAAAAAAAAAAAAAAGUCUUUUGUAACUUUUUACCUGGCAGAGUUUUGUUUCUAAAUUUUUAGUUUUGAAGACAUUAUAGACUUACAGUAAGAUGCAGAAAGUUAAGAGAUCCAUCCAUUGGACGGCCUCCUACAAUGGGUGGCAUCUCAUAUAGAGCUGUUGGAAAAUAUCCAAACCAGGACAUUGACAUUGGUACAUUAUUGCUAAUUAGACUGUAGACCUGAUUAAUUUUCACCAUUUAUAACCUGCACUCAUUUGUGUGUAUGGAUGUGUGCAUAGCUCUAUGCACUUAAGUCCUGUGUACAGAUCUGCAUCUCCACCACCACAGUCAAGGGGUGGACUGCUACCUCACCACAGAAGGACUCUCUGGUGCUGCCUGUCUAUAUGUACCCGCUCUCGCUACUUGCCUCCCUGUCCCCAGGUCACCGCGAUCUGUUCUCCAACUCUAUAGUCUUGUUGUUUUGAGACUAUUAUAUACGUGAAAUUACACAGUAUGCAACCUUUUGAGAUUGAACUUUUUUUCACUAAGCAGAAUGCCCUUGAGGUCCCUCUAGGUUGUCUUGUGUGUUAUCAACAGUUCAUUUGCUUUAAUGGCUGAGUAGUAUUCUCACACAGAUGUGCCAUACUAUAGCCUCCAGUUGAAGGACAUGUGAAUUAUUUCCAAUUUUGGCAAUUAUGUAAAUACAGUCACAGACAUUUGUGUACAGCUUUGCAUGUGAACGUAAGGUUCAUUUCAUUCGGCGGCAUCACUCGGUUGCACAGUCAAGUGUAAGUUUAUCUUUAUGUGAACUGGCCAACUCUUCUGCAAACUGGCCGCACCGUUUUUGCAUUCCCGGCAGCUUGUGUGAGAGUUGCCAUUGCUCUGCAUCUUGCCAACACUAGCUGUUAGCACUUAAUUUUUUUCUUUUUAAUUCUAGCCAUUCUAAUAUAUGUGUAAUGGUAUCCCACAUAACUUUUUAAAACUUUUUUUUAAC